UACGUAGGGUGCAAGCGUUGUCCGGAAUUAUUGGGCGUAAAGAGCUCGUAGGCGGUUUGUCGCGUCGGCUGUGAAAACUCGGGGCUCAACCCCGAGCCUGCAGUCGAUACGGGCAGACUAGAGUGCUGUAGGGGAGACUGGAAUUCCUGGUGUAGCGGUGAAAUGCGCAGAUAUCAGGAGGAACACCGGUGGCGAAGGCGGGUCUCUGGGCCGAUACUGACGCUGAGGAGCGAAAGCGUGGGGAGCGAACAGG
This 253-nucleotide ribosomal RNA is filed under the name uncultured bacterium. RNAcentral describes it as "partial 16S ribosomal RNA". It matches the Rfam family "Bacterial small subunit ribosomal RNA", at positions 524 to 776 of the family's 1533-position model. The record is from RNAcentral.